UUGAAUUAACUUGUUGGGUUGUAGCUGGCUCCUAGGAGCAUGUGCACACCCUUCAUCGUUUUUCCACCUGUGCACCUUUUGUAGUCCUGGAUACCUCUCGAGGCAACUCGGAUUGAGGGCUUGCAGUGCGAAAGCCGGCUUGCCCUUACAUUUCCAGGACUAUGUUUUCAUACACCCCAAUAGAAUGUUAUAGAAUGUCAUUUAUGGGCUUCACAGCCUUUAAACUUAUA
Molecule: unclassified non-coding RNA, 230 nt
Filed under: uncultured Tricholomataceae
Lineage: Eukaryota; Fungi; Basidiomycota; Agaricomycetes; Agaricales; Tricholomataceae
Description: sequence contains ITS1
Source: RNAcentral